Molecule: unclassified non-coding RNA, 142 nt
Filed under: uncultured Helotiales
Lineage: Eukaryota; Fungi; Ascomycota; Leotiomycetes; Helotiales
Description: sequence contains ITS2
Source: RNAcentral
UAACCAAUCAAGCCUGGCUUGGUGUUGGGGUUCGCGAUUCCAGCGGCCCUUAAAACCAGUGGCGGCGCCAUCUGGCUCUAAGCGUAGUAAUUAUCCUCGCUACAGAGUCCUGGUGGAGGCUUGCCAUAACCUAACUACUCAC